RNAcentral lists this small RNA (334 nucleotides) under Pelobates cultripes (western spadefoot toad). The record is from RNAcentral. Lineage: Eukaryota; Metazoa; Chordata; Amphibia; Anura; Pelobatidae.
GACUGGUGACAGAGUGAGGGGAUGACUGGUGACAGAGUGAGGGAGUGACUAGUGACAGAGGGAGGUAGUGACUAGUGACAGAGGGAGGUAGUGACUAGUGACAGAGUGAGGGAGGGAGUGACUGUCACUAGUCACCCCAUCCCUCUCUCUGUCACUAGUCACUCCCUCCCUAACUCUGUCACUGUGUCACCCGCUCCCUCACUCUGUCACUAGUCACCCCCUCACUCACUCUGUCACUAAUCACCCCCUCACUCACUCUGUCACUAAUCACCCCCUCUGUCCCUAGUCACCCCAUCCCUCUCUCUGUCACUAGUCACCCCAUCCCUCUCUCUGU